RNAcentral lists this ribosomal RNA (103 nucleotides) under uncultured bacterium. Its description in RNAcentral is "partial 16S ribosomal RNA". It matches the Rfam family "Bacterial small subunit ribosomal RNA", at positions 1380 to 1482 of the family's 1533-position model. The record is from RNAcentral.
CUUGUACACACCGCCCGUCACACCAUGGGAGUGGGUUUCACCAGAAGUAGGUAGUCUAACCGCAGGGAGGGCGCUUACCACGGUGGGAUUCAUGACUGGGGUG